This 248-nucleotide ribosomal RNA is filed under the name uncultured bacterium. RNAcentral describes it as "partial 16S ribosomal RNA". It matches the Rfam family "Bacterial small subunit ribosomal RNA", at positions 15 to 252 of the family's 1533-position model. The record is from RNAcentral.
AAUCAUGGCUCAGGAUGAACGCUAGCUACAGGCUUAACACAUGCAAGUCGAGGGGCAGCAUUUCAGUUUGCUUGCAAACUGGAGAUGGCGACCGGCGCACGGGUGAGUAACACGUAUCCAACCUGCCGAUAACUCGGGGAUAGCCUUUCGAAAGAAAGAUUAAUACCCGAUGGUAUAACUUAGACCGCAUGGUCUUGUUAUUAAAGAAUUUCGGUUAUCGAUGGGGAUGCGUUCCAUUAGGCAGUUGG